RNAcentral lists this unclassified non-coding RNA (333 nucleotides) under Hevea brasiliensis (rubber tree). Lineage: Eukaryota; Viridiplantae; Streptophyta; Magnoliopsida; Malpighiales; Euphorbiaceae. The record is from RNAcentral.
UUGCUUAACAAGUUCAGAAUGCAAUGGAUUUGGUGCUGGCGUUUGGAACUACCUUUAUUGUUGUUAUGCCAAUGCUGUUGACUAUCACGUUCUAACUAGCAACCUUUGCCACUGCUCGCGUUCAUCAUCUUUUUAUCAACUAAUUAAUAGUAUAUCUAUUUUCUCUGUUUUCUUUCUUCAAAGUUGCAACAAUUUAGUGCGUUUUGAAACUUUGAAUGUACUGUGUACCUUUUUCCUCAGUAUGAUUUUUGAGUGCCACAGGCCCUUUGAAUUUGGUAUCAUUUCCAUCAGCUAAUGUUCAAAUUUGGAUUCAGAUCAGUGACAAAAUGCCUG